This 264-nucleotide long non-coding RNA is filed under the name Erythranthe guttata (spotted monkey flower). RNAcentral's name for it is "long non-coding RNA (EGUT_LNC001770)". The record is from RNAcentral. Lineage: Eukaryota; Viridiplantae; Streptophyta; Magnoliopsida; Lamiales; Phrymaceae.
AGGGUUUGAGCGGAUGUAUGAGGAUAACGAUACAUAUUGGCGGCAGAGGAGCAGGAUACAAUGGAUUAGGGAGGGCGACCGGAAUACAAAAUUUUUCCAUGCGAAAGCUACGGCCCGAAAAAAAGGGAACCAAGUUUACGGAAUGAGGGAUAGUUCGGGGGUGUGGAGAGAGAAUGCAGCGGAGAUCGAACGCAUUAUUUCUGACUAUUUCCAGCACAUCUUCGCGUCCAUCCAGCCGAGAGAAGAGGAAAUCGAUGAGGUUUU